This 294-nucleotide long non-coding RNA is filed under the name Hordeum vulgare. RNAcentral describes it as "long non-coding RNA (HVUL_LNC018245)". Lineage: Eukaryota; Viridiplantae; Streptophyta; Magnoliopsida; Poales; Poaceae. The record is from RNAcentral.
UUAUGGAAUCGUCGGAAUCGUAGGAAAGUUUUACGGAAUCGUCGGUUUAGGGUUUUACGGAAUCGUCGGAAUCGUCGGAAUCGUCGGAGUCACCUCGUUUAUACAAUCAUAGGACUUUGCGAUCUCCAUCGAUGAAACGGUAAGAAUAAAGUCUAAGGGUAAAAAUAGGAACUACAACAAUAUGGAUAUACAACAAUAUGAUAAGGCUCUAAAAUAGGAUAUACAACAAUAUGGAUAUAUGAUAUACAACAAUAAUAUGGAUAUACGAAAAUAGGAUAUAUGAUACAACAAUAU